This 497-nucleotide ribosomal RNA is filed under the name uncultured bacterium. RNAcentral's name for it is "partial 16S ribosomal RNA". It matches the Rfam family "Bacterial small subunit ribosomal RNA", at positions 28 to 507 of the family's 1533-position model. The record is from RNAcentral.
GAUGAACGCUGGCGGCGUGCCUAAUACAUGCAAGUCGAGCGAACGGACGAGAAGCUUGCCUCUCUGAUCUUAGCGGGGGACGGGUGAGUAACACGUGGAUAACCUACCUAUCAGACUGGGAUAACUUCGGGAAAACGGAGCUUAUACCGGACAAUAUUUUGAACCGCAUGGGUAAAAAGUGAAAGACGGUGUCGCGGUCACUUAUAGAUGGAUCCGUGCUGCAUUAGCGAGUUGGUAGGGUAACGGCUUACCAAGGCAACGAUGCAUAGCCGACCUGAGAGGGUGAUCGGCCACACUGGAACUGAGACACGGUCCAGACUCCUACGGGAGGCAGCAGUAGGGAAUCUUCCGCAAUGGGCGAAAGCCUGACGGAGCAACGCCGCGUGAGUGAUGAAGGUCUUCGGAUCGUAAAGCUCUGUUAUUGGGGAAGAACAUAUGUGUAAGUAACUGUGCACAUCUUGACGGUACCUAAUCAGAAAGCCACGGCUAACUACGUG